This 479-nucleotide ribosomal RNA is filed under the name uncultured bacterium. RNAcentral describes it as "bacterial SSU rRNA". It matches the Rfam family "Bacterial small subunit ribosomal RNA", at positions 30 to 524 of the family's 1533-position model. The record is from RNAcentral.
AUUGAACGCUGGCGGAAUGCUUUACACAUGCAAGUCGAACGGCAGCACGGGGCAACCUGGUGGCGAGUGGCGAACGGGUGAGUAAUGCAUCGGAACGUGCCAUUGAGUGGGGGGAUAACGUAGCGAAAGUUGCGCUAAUACCGCAUAUUCUGUGAGCAGGAAAGCAGGGGACCGCAAGGCCUUGCGCUCUUUGAGCGGCCGAUGUCAGAUUAGCUAGUUGGUGAGGUAACGGCUUACCAAGGCGACGAUCUGUAGCGGGUCUGAGAGGAUGAUCCGCCACACUGGAACUGAGACACGGUCCAGACUCCUACGGGAGGCAGCAGUGGGGAAUAUUGUGCAAUGGGCGAAAGCCUGACGCAGCGACGCCGCGUGAGGGACGAAGGUCUUCGGAUUGUAAACCUCUUUCAGCAGGGACGAAGCGAAGUGACUGUACCUGCAGAAGAAGCACCGGCUAACUACGUGCCAGCAGCCGCAGUAAU